UCUUACCAAAAAAAGUCAUAUAAGCCGAUAACAAUUGGCGGACUUUAAAGCGGUAAGAGUCAGGUUAAAAUCGUAAGCAGGCGAAACGAAAGCCGAUUUGUCACCGCAACGCCUCAAGCCGAAAGUAAACCUAGGUCAUGCCCUAAACCCAGCCACGCUGGACUCAUAAGCCUCAAAGGCAUAAGUAUCAGUAUUCUGAUACGAGAUCUUAAAAUUUGUCUCUCCGUUCGAACCCAUAAUGUCUGCAAAUCGGGCGAAUCUCUAAGCUCAAAAUACGCAAAUUCUCAUCUUAGGCGACAAUGGAUAGAACGAAACCAGAGAGGAAGGAAAGAGACGACAACUCGCAUCCCUUCAACCUCUAAACUUCGAAAAAACAAAACCCAACUCAGCUCAUAAAAAGUGCUAUUUUAUUUGAGCAAAGUAGUUUUUAACAAAAGCCCAAAGAUGGGCAGAGAUUCAAAGCCACAAACGGCCAGUCCCAAAACACAAAACACGGCCACCAACGGUCGGACCACAAACAAAAGCAUCUUUAAACAAAAAACAAAUCCUGUAAACAU
This 557-nucleotide long non-coding RNA is filed under the name Brassica napus (rape). Its description in RNAcentral is "long non-coding RNA (BNAP_LNC022112)". The record is from RNAcentral. Lineage: Eukaryota; Viridiplantae; Streptophyta; Magnoliopsida; Brassicales; Brassicaceae.